GAUGCUUCUAGACAACUAAUGUUGAAUGAAGAACAGUUGGAAGAUAUGAGGCAGGAACUUGUACGACAAUACCAAGAACAUCAACAGGCAACGGAAUUGUUAAGGCAAGCACAUAUGCGGCAAAUGGAGAGACAGCGAGAAGACCAGGAACAGCUACAAGAAGAGAUUAAGAGACUUAAUAGACAAUUAGCCCAGAAUGGAAAUGAAAACCAAGGAGAAGUUGAAGAACAAACAUUUAAAGAAAAGGAAUUAGACAGAAAACCUGAAGAUGUGCCUCCUGAGAUUUUGUCUAAUGAAAGGUAUACAAAAUGUGUACUUUUUCAGUGCAAAGUAAAUUAAAAUGGUUGUUUCAAUGUAAUAGACUUUGUCCUUAUUUUUAUCUUGUACAUUGAUACUUUGUCUUAAAAAUCAUCAUACCAUCUGUGUAUGAAACAUGUCCAUGUAUGUGUAGUAUGUACAGGAUUUUCAGUUUUUCAUCAUUAAAUAGAUAACAUUUUUUAAAAAUCUUUUCUAUAUAAAUUUUGAUUGGAUAUUAAUCACAUACUUAACUGUUAAUCACCUGAUGUUAGCAAAACUUUUCCUUACUUUGAUUUUGUAGAGGUUAAUAUAAAAAUGUAAAAUAUUAAGUGAGAAUAGUUAUCCUACAUUAGUAUUAAAGACUUUAAGCACAA
RNAcentral lists this small RNA (671 nucleotides) under Pan troglodytes (chimpanzee). RNAcentral's name for it is "retained intron". The record is from RNAcentral. Lineage: Eukaryota; Metazoa; Chordata; Mammalia; Primates; Hominidae.